This 419-nucleotide ribosomal RNA is filed under the name uncultured bacterium. RNAcentral describes it as "bacterial SSU rRNA". It matches the Rfam family "Bacterial small subunit ribosomal RNA", at positions 359 to 775 of the family's 1533-position model. The record is from RNAcentral.
GAAUAUUGGUCAAUGGAGGCAACUCUGAACCAGCCACGUCGCGUGAAGGAUGACGGCCCUACGGGUUGUAAACUUCUUUUAUACAGGAAUAAAGUGAGUCACGUGUGACUUUUUGCAUGUACUGUAUGAAUAAGGAUCGGCUAACUCCGUGCCAGCAGCCGCGGUAAUACGGAGGAUCCAAGCGUUAUCCGGAUUUAUUGGGUUUAAAGGGUGCGUAGGCGGUUUAUUAAGUCAGUGGUGAAAUCCUGCAGCUUAACUGUAGCAUUGCCAUUGAUACUGAUAAACUUGAGUACAGACGAGGUAGGCGGAAUUGAUAGUGUAGCGGUGAAAUGCAUAGAUACUAUCAAGAACACCGAUUGCGAAGGCAGCUUACUAGGCUGUAACUGACGCUGAGGCACGAAAGCGUGGGGAGCAAACAG